RNAcentral lists this long non-coding RNA (1034 nucleotides) under Gallus gallus (chicken). RNAcentral's name for it is "lncRNA (ENSGALG00010019790.1)". Lineage: Eukaryota; Metazoa; Chordata; Aves; Galliformes; Phasianidae. The record is from RNAcentral.
CCACGUGCUGGCCCAAACAUGGUGGCUGGCAGUUGGGGCCUGCAGCCAUUUCUGGGAGGCAGUGGCAAGAAUGUAGCAAGAGGGUCAGUGGGGGCAGGGGGUUCUGAAGCACCCUGUAGCUGCCUGGGGUGGAGCUGUUCUGGUGUGGACAGCAGCAGAGGAGGAGCAAAAGCACGCUGACACCCCAUAGUCAGCCAGGGGAGAGGCAGUCAUUAAAACCAGUGGAUUUUCUGCAUUGUAUGGGCUGUCCUUUCCCAUCCCUCAUCUCUGGGCCUGGAGCGUGAGAAGGUGGCAUCUCUUCUGCCCUGAUGCCGAAGGAGAGGGGUGUGGAGGAGAGGGCCUGGCAUCCUCUGGGUGGCCGCACUGGGACUGCAGGGGGUGCGUUGGAGGGCGUGUGAGGUCCUUGGGGCCUGGUGCUGGGGUUUUGCAUCCAGUGGGUGUGAAGGCUGAAUCGGGGUUGUUGUCCUCAUCCUGUUCUCUCCUUCGCUGUGGAAUGUGUGCUUGUAGGUGAAGCCAGGCCCUUCAUGGCUGUGCGCGAAGAACAGUUGGCUGUCAGUCAUCCCUUCUGAGAAGUAGUUUGGAUGGUUGUCAUUUCUGCCGUCUCUGGCAUAGCACUCUUGAGAAGAGAGCUUAUGGCAGGGGCACAGAUGUGUAGGUGGCUGUUCCCCGUCAGUUGACCCCAAUGCACCUCAAACAGCAUGAGAGUGCUCAUGCUCUACCAUCAGGUGAAGAGGUGAGGGAGGUUUUUGUUUCCUGUGCUGUGACUAAACUGCCAACGGUGUGCCUACCGCAUGUACAGACUGUGGCUGAACUAAGACCAAAGCCAGUUCUAUUCACAUGUCAGGUCCUGGCUUGCUGUGCCUAUGCUAACAUGGAACCCGGUGAUCCCAGUUUGCCCCUUUCUCCUGGAUGUUUGCAUCAUUUUGCUUUCAUGCUUACUAUCUAGAUGGUAGGGGGAAGUGGCAACUAUUAAGCUGCCCAGUUGGCUUACAUGGGCAAUUCCUCCCCUCUCAGCCAAUUCCUAGAUUUUUUCC